CCUACGGGGGGCAGCAGUGAGGAAUAUUGGUCAAUGGGCGAAAGCCUGAACCAGCCAAGUAGCGUGCAGGAUGACGGCCCUACGGGUUGUAAACUGCUUUUAUCCGGGAAUAACGCGCCUUACGUGUAGGGCUUUGCAUGUACCGUAUGAAUAAGGACCGGCUAAUUCCGUGCCAGCAGCCGCGGUAAUACGGAAGGUCCGGGCGUUAUCCGGAUUUAUUGGGUUUAAAGGGAGCGUAGGCCGGAUGUCAAGCGUGCUGUGAAAUGUCCGGGCUCAACCCGGGCCUUGCAGCGCGAACUGGUGUGCUUGAGUCGGCGGAAAGCAGGCGGAAUGCGUGGUGUAGCGGUGAAAUGCUUAGAUAUGACGAAGAACCCCGAUUGCGAAGGCAGCUUGCUGCAGCGGAACUGACGCUGAUGCUCGAAAGCGUGGGUAUCGAACAGGAUUAGAUACCCGUGUAGUC
This 460-nucleotide ribosomal RNA is filed under the name uncultured bacterium. RNAcentral describes it as "partial 16S ribosomal RNA". It matches the Rfam family "Bacterial small subunit ribosomal RNA", at positions 338 to 795 of the family's 1533-position model. The record is from RNAcentral.